CGUUUCAUGCUCUCUCUCUCUUCCUCUCUCUCUUUAUCCUCUUCCUUUCUCUCUUUCUCUUUUUUCUUUCCUUUCUCUGUUUAGAUCUAAGAUUUGUUUGAAGUUAAUUAGAUCUAUUUCCAUCUCCACCAUCGUCUUCUUCUCUUCUAUAUCACUAUUGUGGAUCAAAAAAUUCAGAUCUAUAAAUUUUGAUAUCCUCAAGAAUAGAUCUUUUAGUUUUCCUAUCUAAAUCAAGUUCAUUCUCCCAUCUAAAUUGACGAUUCACUGGUUUUAAUUUUGUUUUUAAUUGGUUAUUCAAUUUCGAUAUUAUGCAUAUUAAAUGUUUGUUGUCUACGAGAGAAAAAAGAAGACAAAGAUGUCUACUAGAAAACUGAAGACGAAGAAAAAGAUGUCUACGAGGAAACUGAAGAUACAGAGAAGAAGAUGUUUAUGAGGAAACCAAAGAUGUUGUGGACAAUAUCAUUGAUCUGAAUCUGAAAUGUUGUCUACUUAAGUAAUAGACUAAUAGAAAUCUGAUUACAUUUUUUUGUUCAUGCUUUUAUUACUUUAAAAAUAUUGUCCAUUUACCAGAUUAAAAAUUUCAAGCAAACGUUAUCGACGAUUAUUGGUCCAAGAUGUAUAUAUAUGGUUUUUUUUGUCCA
Arabidopsis lyrata subsp. lyrata is the source of this 641-nucleotide long non-coding RNA. RefSeq lists it as uncharacterized. The transcript is spliced from 2 exons. NCBI's taxonomy places the organism in Eukaryota, Viridiplantae, Streptophyta, Magnoliopsida, Brassicales, Brassicaceae. The record is from RefSeq and is a predicted model, not a curated record.